CGUUCCCAUGCCGAACACGGAAGUUAAGCUCUCCAGCGCCAAUGAUAGUUGGGGGCUCUCCCCCUGCAAAAGUAGGACGUCGCUGGGU
This 88-nucleotide ribosomal RNA is filed under the name Alkalicoccus saliphilus. The record is from RNAcentral. Lineage: Bacteria; Bacillati; Bacillota; Bacilli; Caryophanales; Bacillaceae.